GGCUCGGAAAGCGCUCACAGCAUUGAUCCAAGCCAAGACAGGGCCUUUGUUGUCAGUUGCUCCUCGUCCGUAAAGUUUCCCUUUAAAAAGGGAAGAAGAAUGUUCAGAGAAGUGUGGAGCCUCUGCCAGGGAGGCCAGUUCUGCAGGUCAGGAGUGAAGGGCGAUUCGUGAGAGAGAAGAGUGAGGCAAAACCAAAACCAAACACCCAAAAGUCUUCCAUGUGUGAUGAGCCACUGCGUUAGACGAAAGAAUUUCUGAGCAAUGCCUAAAAUCCAGUGUUGCGGGCUUCUUUCUGCUGGCUCCUGAAGUCACAGUACUUUAACAAGGAAGGAAGAGAAAGGUCUGAGCUGGUGGCUCAUGCCUGUGAUCCCAGUACUUUGGGAAGUCGAGGUGGAGGUGAGCAGGGGCUGUGGGGAGAACCAGAGGAACUAGGCUGGUGAAGUCUCAGACCUGGAGGAGGCCGCCCUGGCCUUGAGAGACAGAUGUGCUCACAGCAAGAGGACGCUCAUCACAGACGUGCCCCCUCUUCCUGGCGUUGCUUAUUUUACAAUGGAGCAUCUGCAAGGCUAUAUGAAAAGCAGUUGGUUAUUUUACUUUUCAACCUGUCAUUUUCAUGAUUUUCUCUUAAUUACUCUCCACAAAGCAGCCUGGGUGAUCUUUUUAAAGGUGGGGCAGAUCGCAAGGCUCCCUGUUUUAACUCUUCCAAGAGGUCCCAUUGCCCUUGGGGUAAAGCAAAUAUCCCCACGACCCCCAGGUCUACAUGAUGGAGCCCACCUGCCUCUACCAGCAGCCCUCCUCCCUUGUCGGGGUACCAUGCAGGACCCCUCCAUCACUUUCAUCUGUUCCCAAAUGCAUUGCUGAAUCUUCCUCCAUGCCUCCGUGCAUCUCUUGGCCUCAAGCCCCCACAGAGCGAAGGUGAGCUGGGGAGCAUCCAAACUGAGGAGCCGCCCCACCCCCAACACACUGCACAGUGCAUCUGAAUGAAUUUGUGCGCAGGGAGCUGUGUUGUCUCUUCUAGGAAUUCACCCCAACAAAAUGUCUAGUCCUGCUGAAAAUGUCCGAGACAGCAAGAAAGAGUGUGUCUCCCUAACCAGAGUGUCACUCAGCACCUGGGCUCAGGCCAUCCCAUGCCCAACAGGAGAGCCACUUGCAGGCUGUUCUGCCUUCUGUUGGAUCACCACUGAAAUGCUACAGGGGUGUUCAGGCUUCAAGAACUUUCCAGCUAGGAUUCAGCGGGCAUAAAAUCUGAGCGAACACAGAGAACCUGCAUUCACAAAACAAGGUGGCAGAGAGAGAGCCAAUGCUGGGUGAGGGAAUGCGCAUAGAGCAGCGCAGCUGGGGUGGCAUCACGGGGAGACCACAGCCUAACAGUCGGGAGGGCCACCACCAAGUUCAGCCCUGCCAGGCUCCAGCACGGCUCCUUCAGUUUCCUCUCGCAGCCUGAAUUCCUCUGUCAUGGAGUGGGAGCCUCACAGUGGCCAAGGACCCAACCAAAGGGCUAUAAAAAAAUGUGUGGCUCUGAGCAGACAGAGGGCUCACCAGCUGCCAGGAGGGCAGUCAGAUGUGCUGUGAAAUGCAGACCCUGUCCCAUUGUGGGGUAGGGACAGUCAACAGCAGCGUCUGGGAGGAAACUGGUGCUGAACUCUGACGAGGCGGAAGGGUAAGCUUGGAGAAGGGCAGGCACUCAGCCAGAAGUUUUAACCUCUGGAAGUUUCCUCUUUUUGAAGUAGGAGAAUGCAUCAAAACUUUCUAAUAAGAGAGUCUGAAUUUCGCUGGAGAAUAAUCGAGAGAAAUUAUAAAGUUUAAGAAUAAUUACCCACAAUCUGGAGAGUGAACUGGCUUAAGGACAUGCAUACAUAUCAUCAAAUAGAACUAAAAAUCAAGAAAUAAAUCCUCACAUUAAUGAUCAACUGAUUUUCAUCAAGGGUGAGGAGAUCGUUCAGUGGGGGGAAAAUAGCCUUUUCAAUAAAUGGUGCUGGGACAAUUGAAUGUCUACAUGCAAAGGACAAAGUUUCACUCCCUUUCUCACACUAUAUAUAAGAACUAACCCAAAAUGAUCAAAGACCUAAAUGAAAGUAUUAAAACCAUAAAACUCUUUUUAAAAAAGCUGUCAAUCUUCCUACCUUCGGAUCGGGUGAUGGUUUCUUAGAUAUGGCAGCAAAAGACAAGAUGGAUAAAUAGGACUCAUUAAAAAUCAAAACAUUUGUGCUUCAAAGAACACCAUCAAGAAAAUGGAAAGACAACCCAUAGAAUGCAGGUGGGGGGUUGCAAAUCAUAUUUUUGAUAAAGGACUUACGUUGAGGAUAUAAAUAACAAGCAUGAUUCAGUAAUAAAAGACGAAUAGCCCAAUUGAAAAUGUGCAAAGGAAUUGAAUAAACGUUUCCUCAAAGAAAAUACCCAAAUGGCCAAUAAACACAUGGAAAGAGACUCAGCGUCAUUAGCCAUCAGGAAAACACAAAUCAAACCACAGGAGAUACCACUUUCUACCCACUUGGAUGGCUAGAAGGAAAAAGCCAGAUACUAACAAGUUAUGUCAAAGAUAUAGAGAAAUUGGAACCUUCAUGUACUGCUGAUGGGAAUGCAAAAGCGUGCAGCCACUGUGGAAAACAGUCUGAAAGUUACUUAAUCAAUUAAACACAGAGUCACCAUAUGACCCAGCAAUUCUACUUUUGAGUACAUAUCCAAGACAAGGGAAAACAUAUGUCCACGCAAAAACUGGUACAUGGAUAUGUAUAGCGGCAUUAUUCAUAGUAGCCAAAAGGCAGAAACAAGACAAAUGCUCAUUAACGAACGAAUGGAUAAAUAAAAUGUGGUAUAUUUCACUGAAAUAUUAUUUGGCGAUACAAGAUUAUUUUCAUCUUACGUAAAAAGGAAUGAAGUACUGACACACGCUACAACGUACACAAACUUUAAACGCAUUGUGUGAAGUGAAAUAAGCCAGACACAGCAGCCAUGUAUGGCGAUUCCAUGUACAUAACAGUCCACAGUAGGUAAAUUCAUAGAGACAGAAAGUAGAUUGUUGGUUACUGCUGGGAAAAUAGGAAGGGAGUGCUAAUGAAUAGGGGCGUCUUGGGUGAUGAAAAUGUCAUAAAACAAAUUUUGUGGCAACGGUUGUACAGUUCUGAAUAUACUAAAAACCAUUAAAAUUGUACACUUUAAAUGGGCCAGUUGUGAAGUAUAAGAAUUAUAUCACAAUACAGUCGUUAUAAAAGUAAUCAUAGCUAGGCUGGGUGCAGAGGCUCACACCUGUAAUCCCAGGACUUUGGGAGGCCAAAGUGGGCAAAUCACAAGGUCAAGAGAUCAAGACCAUCUUGGCCAACAUGGUGAAAGCCCAUCUCUACAAAAAAUACAAAAAAUUAGCUGGGCAUGGUAGCACAUGUCUGUAGUCCCAGCUACUCGGGAGGCUGAGGCAGGAGAAUCCCUUGAAUCUGGGAGGCAGAGGUUGCCAUGAGCUGAGAUUGCUGCACUACACCCUGGAGCAACAGGGCGAGACUCUGUCUGAAAAAAAAAUAAUCAUAGCUAUACAACCUCUAUUUGGCAAUACAAAUACAUUGAGUAUGAGAACUGUCAUAGAGGAAGCUACACAGUGGUUAAAAUCAAGGUCAAGGUGAGCAAUGCUCAUUUAUGAGCUGAUUAAGAACUGAGUCCGGCAGGUGGUGCUGAUGAGCCGCUCAUGAUCUCCCCGGCUGCCCUGCACCCAGAAGACUGAAGCCUGAUCCAGCUCAGCUCUGUGGGACACACACAUUGGGGAGCACCACACACUGGGGUCUGU
Long non-coding RNA from Callithrix jacchus (white-tufted-ear marmoset), 3772 nucleotides. RefSeq lists it as uncharacterized. NCBI's taxonomy places the organism in Eukaryota, Metazoa, Chordata, Mammalia, Primates, Cebidae. The record is from RefSeq and is a predicted model, not a curated record.